AGCAGUAGCCGCGGUAAUACGGAGGGAGCUAGCGUUGUUCGGAAUUACUGGGCGUAAAGCGCACGUAGGCGGUUAUUCAAGUCAGAGGUGAAAGCCCGGGGCUCAACCCCGGAACUGCCUUUGAAACUAGAUGACUAGAAUCUUGGAGAGGUCAGUGGAAUUCCGAGUGUAGAGGUGAAAUUCGUAGAUAUUCGGAAGAACACCAGUGGCGAAGGCGACUGACUGGACAAGUAUUGACGCUGAGGUGCGAAAGCGUGGGGAGCAAACAGGAUUAGAUACCCCCGUAGUCCCUGUCUCUUAUAC
RNAcentral lists this ribosomal RNA (303 nucleotides) under uncultured bacterium. RNAcentral's name for it is "partial 16S ribosomal RNA". It matches the Rfam family "Bacterial small subunit ribosomal RNA", at positions 507 to 807 of the family's 1533-position model. The record is from RNAcentral.